CCUACGGGGGGCUGCAGUGGGGAAUAUUGGACAAUGGGGGGAACCCUGAUCCAGCCAUGCCGCGUGUGUGAAGAAGGCCCUCGGGUUGUAAAGCACUUUCAGUGAGGAAGAACGCCUGGUGGUUAAUACCCAUCAGGAAAGACAUCACUCACAGAAGAAGCACCGGCUAACUCCGUGCCAGCAGCCGCGGUAAUACGGAGGGUGCGAGCGUUAAUCGGAAUUACUGGGCGUAAAGCGCGCGUAGGUGGCUUGAUAAGCCGGUUGUGAAAGCCCCGGGCUCAACCUGGGAACGGCAUCCGGAACUGUCAAGCUAGAGUGCAGGAGAGGAAGGUAGAAUUCCCGGUGUAGCGGUGAAAUGCGAAGAGAUCGGGAGGAAUACCAGUGGCGAAGGCGGCCUUCUGGACUGACACUGACACUGAGGUGCGAAAGCGUGGGUAGCAAACAGGAUUAGAUACCCUGGUAGUC
RNAcentral lists this ribosomal RNA (465 nucleotides) under Vreelandella stevensii. Its description in RNAcentral is "partial 16S ribosomal RNA". It matches the Rfam family "Bacterial small subunit ribosomal RNA", at positions 338 to 795 of the family's 1533-position model. The record is from RNAcentral. Lineage: Bacteria; Pseudomonadati; Pseudomonadota; Gammaproteobacteria; Oceanospirillales; Halomonadaceae.